UUUCAUCCUACAUGGAUAACUGUGGUAAUUCUAGAGCUAAUACAUGCAAUGAAGCGAAAGACCGUCAAUGGUCAGCGGCGCAGUUAUUAGAUUAAAAUCAAUAUAGGCCUUCGGGUCUAUCAAACUUGUGAUGAAUCUGAAUAACCGAAGCUAAGCACAUGGUCUCGUACCGGUGCUAGAUCUUUCAAGUGUCUGAUCUAUCAGCUUGUCGCUAGGUUAUGUUCCUAGCGUGGCUUCGACGGGUAACGGGGUAUCAGGGUCCGAUACCGGAGAGGGAGCCUGAGAAAUGGCUACCACAUCCAAGGAAGGCAGCAGGCGCGCAAAUUACCCACUCCCAGUUCGGGGAGGUAGUGACGAAAAAUAACGAUGCGGGAGCAUAAUGCUUCCCGUAAUCGGAAUGAGUACACUUUAAAUCCUUUAACGAGGAUCAAUUGGAGGGCAAGUCUGGUGCCAGCAGCCGCGGUAAUUCCAGCUCCAAUAGCGUAUAUUAAAGUUGCUGCGGUUAAAAAGCUCGUAGUUGGAUCUGGGUGUUUCGAUGAGUGGUGCAUCUAUUCRAUGUCUACUACUCCAUCGACACCACAAGCCAACCAUGUCUGUCUAUACCCUUCACUGUGGCGUAGAUAAUGGACGGUUGGAACGUUUACUUUGAAAAAAUUAGAGUGCUCAAAGCAGGCGUAUGGCCUUGAAUAAUGGUGCAUGGAAUAAUGGAAUAGGACCUCGGUUCUAUUUGUUGGUGUUUCAAGAGCUCGAGGUAAUGAUAAAGAGGAACAGACGGGGGCAUUCGUAUUGCGACGUUAGAGGUGAAAUUCUUGGAUCGUCGCAAGACGAACUACUGCGAAAGCAUUUGCCAAGAAUGUUUUCAUUAAUCAAGAACGAAAGUUAGAGGUUCGAAGGCGAUCAGAUACCGCCCUAGUUCUAACCAUAUACGAUGCCAACCAGCGAUCUGUCGGUGUUUAUUCUACCGACUCGACAGGCAGCUUCCGGGAAACCAAAGUGCUUAGGUUCCGGGGGAAGUAUGGUGCAAAGCUGAAAC
Molecule: ribosomal RNA, 1033 nt
Filed under: Milnesium sp. IS.008_B
Lineage: Eukaryota; Metazoa; Tardigrada; Eutardigrada; Apochela; Milnesiidae
Description: SSU rRNA
Source: RNAcentral